ACUGUUAUUGAUACUCCUCCUAUUAAUGGCAUUCAGUCUUGGUACAACUAUAAAUUCAAGUACAACUACUGCUAAGGCUGCAACCGUAACAUCUGCUACUGCAGCAGAUACCACUACUGCAUCAUCUACCACUGCUGCAUCAUCUACCACCGCUACAUCAGCUACCACUGCUGCACCUACCACCGCUGCAUCAGCUACCACUGCUCCAACUACCACAACUAGUGAUUAUGGCAAAAGACAAUAAGAUAUUUUGUGUGUACCCAACGUUUGUUUCUUGUACUUAAAUAAUUAUCAAUCUGUAAUCUUUCAUCUUUUAUCUGCACAAAUUAAACGAGAUGUGUGGAAUUCCUAAAAGAGACAACAUUAUACGAGGUUUUGGUUGGGGUAUACAGAAGAGACAACACACGCAUACAGUGGAUGCCCAGAAAUAAAGAAUAAAGAAAAAAGAAAGAAUAAGGGUGCUGAAAUAUAAAGAAUAUAUUAUAGUGAACAAAACAACUGAUAAAAGAAAAGCUGGCUUAAAAAAUACAUGAAUAAAGAAAUGAAGACCCCAUCCAGGCUGACAAAAAUGAAAACAAAAGAUAUCUAUAGGGCUUUAAACAGACUUUAAAAAUAGACAUUCAUCCACAUAAUAUGUCAAUCUUUAAAUCUUCCCGAGUCUAUACAAGUUUUGAAUAAA
Long non-coding RNA from Mytilus californianus (California mussel), 679 nucleotides. RefSeq lists it as uncharacterized. The transcript has 3 exons. Lineage: Eukaryota; Metazoa; Mollusca; Bivalvia; Mytilida; Mytilidae. The record is from RefSeq and is a predicted model, not a curated record.